UUCGUGGAUCGAUGAAGAACGCAGCCAGCUGCGAUAAAUAGUGCGAAUUGCAGACACAUUGAGCACUAAGAAUUCG
RNAcentral lists this ribosomal RNA (76 nucleotides) under Anisakis simplex (herring worm). Its description in RNAcentral is "5.8S ribosomal RNA". It matches the Rfam family "5.8S ribosomal RNA", at positions 25 to 102 of the family's 154-position model. Rfam says of the family: 5.8S ribosomal RNA (5.8S rRNA) is a component of the large subunit of the eukaryotic ribosome. Lineage: Eukaryota; Metazoa; Nematoda; Chromadorea; Rhabditida; Anisakidae. The record is from RNAcentral.